AGUGAACGCUGGCGGUAGGCCUAACACAUGCAAGUCGAACGGCAGCACAGUAAGAGCUUGCUCUUACGGGUGGCGAGUGGCGGACGGGUGAGGAAUACAUCGGAAUCUACUUUUUCGUGCGGGAUAACGUAGGGAAACUUACGCUAAUACCGCAUACGACCUACGGGUGAAAGCAGGGGAUCUUCGGACCUUGCGCGAUUGAAUGAGCCGAUGUCGGAUUAGCUAGUUGGCGGGGUAAAGGCCCACCAAGGCGACGAUCCGUAGCUGGUCUGAGAGGAUGAUCAGCCACACUGGAACUGAGACACGGUCCAGACUCCUACGGGAGGCAGCAGUGGGGAACAUUGGACAAUGGGCGCAAGCCUGAUCCAGCCAUACCGCGUGGGUGAAGAAGGCCUUCGGGUUGUAAAGCCCUUUUGUUGGGAAAGAAAAGCAGCAGGUUAAUACCCCGCUGUUCUGACGGUACCCAAAGAAUAAGCACCGGCUAACUUCGUG
Molecule: ribosomal RNA, 492 nt
Filed under: uncultured bacterium
Lineage: Bacteria
Description: partial 16S ribosomal RNA
Rfam family: Bacterial small subunit ribosomal RNA
Source: RNAcentral